Molecule: ribosomal RNA, 471 nt
Filed under: uncultured bacterium
Lineage: Bacteria
Description: partial 16S ribosomal RNA
Rfam family: Bacterial small subunit ribosomal RNA
Source: RNAcentral
GACGAACGCUGGCGGCGUGCUUAACACAUGCAAGUCGAGCGAUGAAGCCUAGCUUGCUAGGUGGAUUAGUGGCGAACGGGUGAGUAAUACGUGAGUAACCUACCUUUAACUCUGGGAUAAGCCUGGGAAACUGGGUCUAAUACCGGAUACGACCAAUCUCCGCAUGGGGUGUUGGUGGAAAGCGUUAUGUAGUGGUUAUAGAUGGGCUCACGGCCUAUCAGCUUGUUGGUGAGGUAACGGCUCACCAAGGCGACGACGGGUAGCCGGCCUGAGAGGGUGACCGGCCACACUGGGACUGAGACACGGCCCAGACUCCUACGGGAGGCAGCAGUGGGGAAUAUUGCACAAUGGGCGCAAGCCUGAUGCAGCGACGCCGCGUGAGGGAUGACGGCCUUCGGGUUGUAAACCUCUGUUAGCAGGGAAGAAGAGAAAUUGACGGUACCUGCAGAGAAAGCGCCGGCUAACUACGUG